Molecule: ribosomal RNA, 279 nt
Filed under: uncultured bacterium
Lineage: Bacteria
Description: partial 16S ribosomal RNA
Rfam family: Bacterial small subunit ribosomal RNA
Source: RNAcentral
UGCCAGCCGCCGCGGUAAUACGGAGGGUGCAAGCGUUAAUCGGAAUUACUGGGCGUAAAGCGCGCGUAGGUGGUCUGUUAAGUCAGCUGUGAAAGCCCUGGGCUUAACCUGGGAACUGCAGUUGAUACUGGCAAGCUAGAGUACGAGAGAGGGAGGUAGAAUUCCAUGUGUAGCGGUGAAAUGCGUAGAUAUAUGGAGGAAUACCAGUGGCGAAGGCGGUCUCUUGGUCCUAUACUGACGCUGAGGCUCGAAAGCGUGGGGAGCAAACAGGAUUAGAUA